This 204-nucleotide unclassified non-coding RNA is filed under the name Candidatus Phytoplasma phoenicium. Its description in RNAcentral is "partial 16S-23S ribosomal RNA intergenic spacer". The stretch from base 110 to 183 matches the Rfam family "tRNA". Lineage: Bacteria; Bacillati; Mycoplasmatota; Mollicutes; Acholeplasmatales; Acholeplasmataceae. The record is from RNAcentral.
CUAAGGAAACAUAGAAUCAUCAUCUUCAGUUUUGAAAGACUUAGUUAGGUUUUUCUAAUUUGAAAAACUUAGUUAAGUUUUUCUCAUUUCUUUUAUUUUUUGGUAUCCUGGGCCUAUAGCUCAGUUGGUUAGAGCACACGCCUGAUAAGCGUGAGGUCGGUGGUUCAAGUCCAUUUAGGCCCACCAAACGUUUUGCUAAAAAAA